GCUUCGUUGGCUAAGUGGUACAGCGUCCCACUCGUAUUGUGCAUCAUGGGAAGAUCGACGGUUCAAUUCCGUCACGAAGCA
This is a non-coding RNA of Trematosphaeria pertusa, 81 nucleotides long. Lineage: Eukaryota; Fungi; Ascomycota; Dothideomycetes; Pleosporales; Trematosphaeriaceae. The record is from the annotation of a RefSeq genome assembly.